RNAcentral lists this non-coding RNA (22 nucleotides) under Arabidopsis thaliana (thale cress). The record is from RNAcentral. Lineage: Eukaryota; Viridiplantae; Streptophyta; Magnoliopsida; Brassicales; Brassicaceae.
GACUGAUUGGGUUUCGCUUCCA